RNAcentral lists this long non-coding RNA (940 nucleotides) under Helianthus annuus (common sunflower). RNAcentral describes it as "hypothetical non coding rna". The record is from RNAcentral. Lineage: Eukaryota; Viridiplantae; Streptophyta; Magnoliopsida; Asterales; Asteraceae.
GUGAAAAUGGAGAUUCGAGAACCCGUCGCCGACGGGCCCCAAGCCGUCGGCGACGCCAUCAGGAAAUGCCCGUAGGCUUCUUUUUCCCGUAUCUAGUUGAUUAACGCGUCGGAGCAGGAAGAAAAUCUAAGGCCCGUCGCCGACGGGUUGAGGGCCGUCGGCGACGGCCUGUCAAAACUGGAAACGGGUUUUUUGUUGAUUUGGGGGUUAAUCUCGAUUGUGAUUGGUUCUCACUCAUUAAAUUCGUAAGUUACACUCACUUUUGAGUUUUGAACUUGUUCUUGGAGCCAUAUUCAUCAAUUUUUCACCAACCAUUCCAUCAUCUAUCAUCAUCUCUACAACCUUGAAUCAUCACCAACCAUCAAAAAUCCCCAAUUCACCAUCCUAAACCCUAGUUCUCCAUCCUUCACUCACACUCACCAUUUUCACUCACAAACCCCAAUCAUCCAUCAAUUCUCCAUCCAAGCAAGCUUCAAGAUGAAUCCUUCCGCGUUCCAAACAUCCGGUGAUCAAGCUUCUUCAACCAUGAGCGGCUAAUCAUCUCGGUUUCACCCCGGUGUAGGUAGCUGUUAAUGCUAGGUAUUACAUUUGUUACGAAUUCGUGAAUUGUCGAGCGAUGUUAAAAGUUAUGACUUUACGAAACGGUGAUAUGUAAUUGUACAUUGUCAUUGUUAGGAUUUACUUGUGUUGAUUACAAAGUGUCUUUUUGUCCGUUCUUCGGGGCGUUGAUAGUUAGUAGCACCUAAGUCACGGUACACUAAAUCCGUUAAUCAAAUGCAUUUGAGUUGAAACUAGAACUUGUAGAAAUCCUAGGUUAAUAAUUACCGAAACCGGGUGUGAUCCUUUUUUAUUAAUAUCGUUCUAAUAAUCAUUUUUCUUACAAUCGUUAAUUAGUAGUGUUAAUCAUUUGCAGCAAUUCAAUUAGUUAAAAAUCAUAUCU